Leopardus geoffroyi (Geoffroy's cat) is the source of this 1189-nucleotide long non-coding RNA. RefSeq lists it as uncharacterized. Lineage: Eukaryota; Metazoa; Chordata; Mammalia; Carnivora; Felidae. The record is from RefSeq and is a predicted model, not a curated record. The transcript is spliced from 2 exons.
UGUACAUGAAGGAUGAUGACUGCCCCAGGCUUUUUGGGAUUAGUAAAAAAUGUAAGGAACCCAGAGAGUACUUCCUAUCUAGGAGAUGCUCGAUGAAGGGGGCCUAUGAUUAGCUUUCCUUUCUUUAGCUUAAAUAAUCUUGCUAGCACUUGAGGUGUAUGCCUGAAAUCACUAUUACAAAUUUUAUUAUUCCCGAUUUUUUUUUUUUUAACGUGUGUUAAUUGAUUAGCUCAAGUGCAAAGUGGAGGCUGAAUCCAGGUUUUCUGACUCCGUUUCACACUGCCCUAUCUUCAAGACUCUAAAUCUAUCUGCUACCCCACCUAAGACCUCCAAACUGAAUGCCCUUAUGUGAGUUCAGCUGACACUAAUUCUCCAAAUGACAGAAAUUCACAAACUAUCAACAGAAACCAGUCCCAAUUGACUCAGUCCAUGACAGUCCUGCCCUGCUUAUGGAUAUUUCUCUCGUUGACACUUACCAUUUUAGCAAUUUCUGGAUAGAAAGGAGGAGGACAGGAUUUUGCUCUUUGCACUAACUGGUGAUCUUGUAACACCACAAAAUCUACAGAGUGCCAGCUAUACUUAAGCCACUGGGUAGACAAAGAUGAAGAAAGCUAUCUGGACAAUCUACCCAGAAGUUAGAUUUAUAAUUCUCAGUGAUGGUGAUAAGAUAUCCCAAUAUCCCAAUUGCUAGCCUGGGAUAUGAAAAGACAAACUCUGCCUUUGGUGGCUAGGCCUCCGUAAGCUUUAUCUCACUAUCCUCUGGGAAGGCAGCAAAGGAGGAGGGUCUGUGUAAUGUUGGUGUUCUUCAAGAACUACGCAUUUAUAAACCUGCCUGCUUUACAGGUCCUUUCAGGCACUAUCGUCUUUAGACAUUUCAGUGAAGGUUUUCUUAUUCACAGUUCAGCACAAGUACAUGUUUUUUACAUUUGAUGUUUCUCUCCUUUCUUAAAGAUCAAUGGUUUUUAAAUCAGCAUUUAUAAAAUUCACUCUGUUCCCUCCUUAUAAAAAAAUGAUAUUUAAACAAAGAAUAGCACUCAUUUUUCUCUAUACCCUUACCCCGAUGUCACCUAUAAUGCAGUCUGUGGUUUCUGGAAGCUGUAUGUUGUUUAGUGGUCAGAACACAACACAGGGUAUAAAUUCUGAGUCUGUUUCGCCACUGAAAUCUGUAAAAUAGAGGGAAUUGUCACAA